This 141-nucleotide ribosomal RNA is filed under the name uncultured bacterium. RNAcentral's name for it is "partial 16S rRNA". It matches the Rfam family "Bacterial small subunit ribosomal RNA", at positions 355 to 511 of the family's 1533-position model. The record is from RNAcentral.
UGAGGAAUUUUCCGCAAUGGGCGAGAGCCUGACGGAACAAUGCCGCGUGGAGGUGGAAGGCCUACGGUUCGUCAACUUCUUUUCUAGGAGAAGAAUCAAUGACGGUAUCUGAGGAAUAAGCAUCGGCUAACUCUGCGCCAG